CGGGGCGUAGCGUAGCUCGGUUAUCGCGUCUGCUUUGGGAGCAGAAGGUCGCAGGUUCGAAUCCUGCCGCCCCGACAA
Molecule: transfer RNA, 78 nt
Filed under: Cardinium endosymbiont of Sogatella furcifera
Lineage: Bacteria; Pseudomonadati; Bacteroidota; Cytophagia; Cytophagales; Amoebophilaceae
Description: tRNA-Pro
Rfam family: tRNA
About the family: Transfer RNA (tRNA) molecules are approximately 80 nucleotides in length. Their secondary structure includes four short double-helical elements and three loops (D, anti-codon, and T loops).
Source: RNAcentral